This 292-nucleotide ribosomal RNA is filed under the name uncultured bacterium. RNAcentral's name for it is "partial 16S ribosomal RNA". It matches the Rfam family "Bacterial small subunit ribosomal RNA", at positions 505 to 796 of the family's 1533-position model. The record is from RNAcentral.
GUGCCAGCCGCCGCGGUAAUACAGAGGGUGCAAGCGUUGCUCGGAAUUAUUGGGCGUAAAGGGUAGGUAGGUGGUCUCAUUUGUCAGGGGUGAAAGCCUUGGGCUUAACCCAAGAAGUGCCUUUGAAACGGUGAGACUGGAGUCCUGGAGAGGGUCGUGGAAUUCCCGGUGUAGCGGUGAAAUGCGUAGAGAUCGGGAGGAACACCAGCGGCGAAGGCGGCGACCUGGACAGGUACUGACACUCAACUACGAAAGCGUGGGGAGCAAACAGGAUUAGAUACCCUGGUAGUCC